GAGCCACUCAGUACACCAGAACC
This 23-nucleotide non-coding RNA is filed under the name Mus musculus (house mouse). Lineage: Eukaryota; Metazoa; Chordata; Mammalia; Rodentia; Muridae. The record is from RNAcentral.